RNAcentral lists this ribosomal RNA (851 nucleotides) under uncultured bacterium. RNAcentral describes it as "bacterial SSU rRNA". It matches the Rfam family "Bacterial small subunit ribosomal RNA", at positions 8 to 858 of the family's 1533-position model. The record is from RNAcentral.
AGAGUUUGAUCCUGGCUCAGGAUUGAACGCUGGCGGCGUGCUUAACACAUGCAAGUCGAACGAAGCACUUUACUUCGAUUCUUCGGAUGAAGAGUAUUGUGACUGAGUGGCGGACGGGUGAGUAACGCGUGGGUAACCUGCCUCAUACAGGGGGAUAACAGUUAGAAAUGACUGCUAAUACCGCAUAAGACCACGUUGCCGCAUGGCAGAGUGGUGAAAACUCCGGUGGUAUGAGAUGGACCCGCGUCUGAUUAGGUAGUUGGUGGGGUAACGGCCUACCAAGCCGACGAUCAGUAGCCGACCUGAGAGGGUGACCGGCCACAUUGGGACUGAGACACGGCCCAAACUCCUACGGGAGGCAGCAGUGGGGAAUAUUGCACAAUGGGGGAAACCCUGAUGCAGCGACGCCGCGUGAAGGAUGAAGUAUUUCGGUAUGUAAACUUCUAUCAGCAGGGAAGAAAAUGACGGUACCUGACUAAGAAGCCCCGGCUAACUACGUGCCAGCAGCCGCGGUAAUACGUAGGGGGCAAGCGUUAUCCGGAUUUAUUGGGUGUAAAGGGAGCGUAGACGGUCUUGUAAGUCUGAUGUGAAAACCCGGGGCUCAACCCCGGGACUGCAUUGGAAACUAUAGGACUAGAGUGUCGGAGAGGCAAGUGGAAUUCCUAGUGUAGCGGUGAAAUGCGUAGAUAUUAGGAGGAACACCAGUGGCGAAGGCGGCUUGCUGGACGAUGACUGACGUUGAGGCUCGAAAGCGUGGGGAGCAAACAGGAUUAGAUACCCUGGUAGUCCACGCCGUAAACGAUGACUACUAGGUGUCGGGGAGCAAAGCUCUUCGGUGCCGCAGCCAACGC